AAUAUUGGACAAUUGGGGCAACCCUGAUCCAGCCAUGCCGCGUGUGUGAAGAAGGUCUUCGGUUUGUAUAGCUCUUUAAGUUGGGAGGAAGGCCUUUAGGUUAAUACUUUGUAGUUUUGACGUUACCAAUAGAUUAAGCACCUGCUAACUCUGUGCUUGCAGCCGCGGUAAUACAGAGGGUGCAAGCGUUAAUCGGAAUUACUGGGCGUAAAGCACGCGUAGGUGGUUCAGUAAGAUGGGUGUGAAAUCCCCGGGCUUAACAUGGGAACUGCUUUCAUAACUGCUGAGCUAGAGUACGGUAGAGGGUAGUGGAAUUUCCUGUAUAGCGGUGAAAUGCGUAGAUAUAGGAAGGAACACCAGUGGCGAAGGCGACUACCUGGACUGAUACUGACACUGAGGUGCGAAAGCGUGGGGAGCAAAC
This 421-nucleotide ribosomal RNA is filed under the name uncultured bacterium. RNAcentral describes it as "partial 16S ribosomal RNA". It matches the Rfam family "Bacterial small subunit ribosomal RNA", at positions 360 to 773 of the family's 1533-position model. The record is from RNAcentral.